Molecule: ribosomal RNA, 521 nt
Filed under: uncultured Acidobacteriota bacterium
Lineage: Bacteria; Pseudomonadati; Acidobacteriota
Description: bacterial SSU rRNA
Rfam family: Bacterial small subunit ribosomal RNA
Source: RNAcentral
UGACGACGCAACGCCGCGUGGAGGAUGAAGAUCUUCGGGUCGUAAACUCCUGUCGAGUGGGAAGAAUAGCUCUGGGGCGAAUAUCCCGGAUGCCUGACGGUACCUCUCAAGGAAGCCCCGGCUAACUCCGUGCCAGCAGCCGCGGUAAUACGGGGGGGGCAAGGGUUGUUCGGAAUUACUGGGCGUAAAGGGCUCGAAGGCGGCCAACUAAGUCGGAUGUGAAAUCCCCAGGCUCAACCUGGGAACUGCGUCUGAUACUGGAUGGCUUGAAUUCGGGAGAGGGAUGCAAAAUUCCCGGUGUAGCGGUGAAAUGCGUAAAUAUCUGGAGGAAUACCGGUGGCCAAGGCGGCAUCCUGGACCGACAUUGACGCUUAGGAGCGAAAUCUAGGGGAGCAAACCGGAUUAGAUACCCCGGUAGUCCUAGCCCUAAACUAUGAACGCUUGGUGUGACGGGUAUCGAUCCCUGUUGUGCCCAACCUAACGCAUUAAGCAUUCCGCCUGGGGAGUACUGUCGCAAGGUU